CAGUAGCCGCGGGAAUACGAGGGGGGCAAGCGUUGUUCGGAAUUAUUGGGCGUAAAGGGUGCGUAGGCGGCUUGACAAGUCUUGUGUGAAAUCUAUGGGCUCAACCCAUAGUCUGCACGGGAAACUGUCGGGCUUGAGAAUGGGAGAGGUGAGUGGAAUUUCCGGUGUAGCGGUGAAAUGCGUAGAUAUCGGAAGGAACACCUGUGGCGAAAGCGGCUCACUGGACCAUUUCUGACGCUGAUGCACGAAAGCUAGGGGAGCAAACAGGAUUAGAUACCCGCGUAGUCCCUGUCUCUUAUAA
This 301-nucleotide ribosomal RNA is filed under the name uncultured bacterium. RNAcentral describes it as "partial 16S ribosomal RNA". It matches the Rfam family "Bacterial small subunit ribosomal RNA", at positions 509 to 809 of the family's 1533-position model. The record is from RNAcentral.